ACCUGCACAAACUUCUUUAUCCUCUCAAUCAGUCCGGACUCCUCAAAAUGCUCGAGGAGGUCUUGGGGGUCGACCAACAGAAACGCGGUACCUGGUCGAAUGACAAGCGGUCGCCGUUACUCGACCGCACGCAGAAUUAAACCAGUUUACUGGGAACAAAUGCACGUGUGUGUGCUCCGUCUGCAAGACGAGCACGUCAAAGACACACUGAGUGAAUGCUCAGUGUGGUUAAAGGUCAGGCCAGUGUAUUGUUCUUUGGGGUUAAAGGUCAGUGUACAAUGCUCAGUGGGGUUAAAGGUCAGGCCAGUGUAUUGGAGAGGGCUCAGUGAGGUUAAAGGUCAGGCCAGUGUAUUGGAGAGGGCUCAGUGGGGUUAAAGGUCAGACCAGUGUAUUGGAGAGGGCUCAGUGGGGUUAAAGGUCAGGCCAGUGUAUUGGAGAGGGCUCAGUGGGGUUAAAGGUCAGGCCAGUGUAUUGGAGAGGGCUCAGUGGGGUUAAAGGUCAGGCCAGUGUAUUGGAGAGGGCUCAGUGAGGUUAAAGGUCAGACCAGUGUAUUGGAGAGGGCUCAGCGGGGUUAAAGGUCAGACCAGUGUAUUGGAGAGGGCUCAGCGGGGUUAAAGGUCAGGCCAGUGUACGUUGUUCUUUGGGGUUAAAGGUCAGUGUACAAUGCUCAGUGGGGUUAAAGGUCAGGCCAGUGUAUUGGAGAGGGCUCAGCGGGGUUAAAGGUCAGGCCAGUGUAUUGGAGAGGGCUCAGCGGGGUUAAAGGUCAGGCCAGUGUAUUGGAGAGGGCUUAAAGACAUGUCGGGUUUACCUGACAGAGGGAAGAUAAACGCUCCAGACUCCACACCGUCUGAAAAUCGGAUGCGGUGCUGCUGCGCGCUUAAAAUCCGGGUCGUGUCGUGGUUCUGGUGUAAAACAAAUAAAUAUCAAUAGGAGGGAAGUUGAAACUGGUCAACGUUUCACCAACUGUAGUUUUUUUUCUCCCUCGCACGCAUUUAGCGUUUAGUUAGUUGUUGGUACUAUACCUUCAAGCUAGCUCCGUCAGUUAGUCUUCACACCUGCCGAGAGCAAACUAAGACGAAGAGAGACAUAGAACCCCUACCUGGAGAGACGAGCUCACUAUAAUCGUUGUUCUCCACUGAGGAGUCGUUUCCGCGUGUGACGCCAUGACCCACAGCUCCGUGAAGAAGAGUGUAACGAGUUCUGAUGAGACCCCUCCACCUGUGUGGGGGGACCGCGGCACGAGCGCCAGGCUGUCGUGCCUACAGACGGCCACCAGAGGGCGCUGUUUCACCACUCAGCGUGUUGGCCGGAAUGCAGGUUUCUCCACAGGUGUUUUUUAUUUUUACGGUUGAUAUUUUGAGGAGACCACAGACGUUUCUUUAUUAGUUUGGAUAAUUUCAGUCGUCAGUGUUUUCUUUUUGUCUUGUAAAGCAUCUGUAUAAACAUUUUAGAUUUGAACUUGCACAAGUGUACGAUAAAAGCUCCACACCUGUCUCACGCAAACUUAUUAAAUAUGCAUGUACAACCAGUAAAAUCAAAAUGAGAAUAAAGUGUCAUUGACCCAACA
This is a long non-coding RNA of Pseudoliparis swirei, 1567 nucleotides long. RefSeq lists it as uncharacterized. The transcript is spliced from 2 exons. The record is from RefSeq and is a predicted model, not a curated record. Lineage: Eukaryota; Metazoa; Chordata; Actinopteri; Perciformes; Liparidae.